AACGAGAAGAACCUUACCAAAUCUUGACAUCCUUUGACAACUCUAGAGAUAGAGAAUUCCCAUUCAGGGGACAAAGUGACAGGUGGUGCAUGGUUGUCGUCAGCUCGUGUCGUGAGAUGUUGGGUUAAGUCCCGCAACGAGCGCAACCCUUAAGCUUAGUUGCCAUCAUUAAGUUGGGCACUCUAAGUUGACUGCCGGUGACAAACCGGAGGAAGGUGGGGAUGACGUCAAAUCAUCAUGCCCCUUAUGAUUUGGGCUACACACGUGCUACAAUGGACAAUACAAAGGGCAGCGAAACCGCGAGG
This 305-nucleotide ribosomal RNA is filed under the name Staphylococcus aureus. RNAcentral's name for it is "bacterial SSU rRNA". It matches the Rfam family "Bacterial small subunit ribosomal RNA", at positions 958 to 1262 of the family's 1533-position model. The record is from RNAcentral. Lineage: Bacteria; Bacillati; Bacillota; Bacilli; Caryophanales; Staphylococcaceae.